AGAGUUAGCGGCGGACGGGUGAGUAACACGUGGGCAACCUGCCUGUAAGACUGGGAUAACUCCGGGAAACCGGGGCUAAUACCGGAUAAUAUCUAUUUAUACGUAUAAUUAGAUUGAAAGAUGGUUCUGCUAUCGCUUACAGAUGGGCCCGCGGCGCAUUAGCUAGUUGGUGAGGUAACGGCUCACCAAGGCGACGAUGCGUAGCCGACCUGAGAGGGUGAUCGGCCACACUGGGACUGAGACACGGCCCAGACUCCUACGGGAGGCAGCAGUAGGGAAUCUUCCGCAAUGGACGAAAGUCUGACGGAGCAACGCCGCGUGAGUGAUGAAGGUUUUCGGAUCGUAAAACUCUGUUGUUAGGGAAGAACAAGUACCGGAGUAACUGCCGGUACCUUGACGGUACCUAACCAGAAAGCCACGGCUAACUACGUGCCAGCAGCCGCGGUAAUACGUAGGUGGCAAGCGUUGUCCGGAAUUAUUGGGCGUAAAGCGCGCGCAGGCGGUUCCUUAAGUCUGAUGUGAAAGCCCACGGCUCAACCGUGGAGGGUCAUUGGAAACUGGGGAACUUGAGUGCAGAAGAGGAAAGUGGAAUUCCAAGUGUAGCGGUGAAAUGCGUAGAGAUUUGGAGGAACACCAGUGGCGAGGCGACUUUCUGGUCUGUAACUGACG
Molecule: ribosomal RNA, 669 nt
Filed under: Bacillus sp. B68
Lineage: Bacteria; Bacillati; Bacillota; Bacilli; Caryophanales; Bacillaceae
Description: bacterial SSU rRNA
Rfam family: Bacterial small subunit ribosomal RNA
Source: RNAcentral